Long non-coding RNA from Phragmites australis (common reed), 1019 nucleotides. RefSeq lists it as uncharacterized. The transcript is spliced from 3 exons. Lineage: Eukaryota; Viridiplantae; Streptophyta; Magnoliopsida; Poales; Poaceae. The record is from RefSeq and is a predicted model, not a curated record.
AUGUCAUGAUUUGCGGAAUUGCCGUUGGACAAAUGUUCUUGAGAAAUCUUGCUAUCUUAAUGCUGUAGGUUCAGUUGCUUGACAUUUACUAUACACUUUUUUUUUUGUUUAAUCUGCAUUGACAAUAGAGAUAAUAUUCAAUAAUUUCCCACUUAGAUUGAAAAUGAUAAUCUGAUUGCCUACGGCCUGAUCCCAGAAUUCAUUGGAAGGUUGCAAAUAAUAGUUGGCCUGACUCAUCUCAGUGAAGAGCAAUUGAUCCGGUUAGGAAAUUUAUUUGCAUAAGUUUGUAAUUUAGUGCAAAUAUUUCUUACAAUCACCUCUAUCUUUUAAUUAUUUGCCUCUAGAAGGAUCUUCACAUCUUAUUCUAUUCUACUAGUUGGUUCUGCAUUUUUCUUUUUCUUCCCAAGAGGACCACAAUCUCAAAACUCUAGCUAAUUCUCUUUUCAGGUGCUUAGGGAGCCCAAAAACGCAAUAGGAAAGCAAAACAAGAAGCUGUUCAAAAUGAAUGAUGUUAAGCUGCAUGUUUCUGAAGAUGCUUUGCGGCUAAUAGCAAAGAAGGCAGCUGCAAAAGAAACGGGAGCUCGACGCCUACUGUCUGUAAUGGAGUACAUUUUGACAGAAGCAAUGUUUGAGAUUCCUGAUGCAAGAGAGGGGAAAGAGAAUAAUUGCUGUUCUUGUUGAUGAAGAGUACGUACGGCCGCUACACCGUCGAGGGUGCGGAGCCAAAUUUUUGCGUGAUGAUGGAGCAUUGGAACUGUAUAUUUAUCAGAAUAAUAUCAAACUGCCCGGUCUAAUUCAGAGCAACCCCAGACGCAGUCGCAUUCCCCCUCUCUGCCUUCUAGUAGCUUUGUCAGCAACAAAGCUUUGGAUUUACCAGACAUUCCAUUGUUUUUCCUCGAUAUAUGAAUGGAUUGUAUUGAUGCUGUGCGUGGCAAACAUUUUUACAACAACAACAACAACAAAGCCUUUCAGUCCCAAACAAGUUAGGGUAGGCUAGAGAUGAAAUCCAAUGAAAUAUA